Zingiber officinale is the source of this 1549-nucleotide RNA transcript. It is a transcript of the gene named protein-tyrosine-phosphatase PTP1-like, with no coding region annotated. The record is from RefSeq and is a predicted model, not a curated record. The transcript has 9 exons. NCBI's taxonomy places the organism in Eukaryota, Viridiplantae, Streptophyta, Magnoliopsida, Zingiberales, Zingiberaceae.
CCCCUCUCUCUUCCGAUCGCAGGUGUCGACAUUUUGAGAAGGGAGAGAAAAGAGAUCGGACCGAAGCGACGGGGAACUGCACGGGCCUGCGCCGCAGGGCUCACUCUCCGGCGAUGGCCGUAGCCUCCUCUGCUGCCGCUUCCUCUGCCGCAUACAGCCCAACAAACGCCUGCUUUGAUCCGCCGCCACCGCUCCGGCUCUCUGGGGAGCAGCUGAAACACUGCUCUGAAGCCCUCGCUUUCUUCAAGAAGAAGCUCAGAACCCCUGCCAAGAUCCAUCAAGAGUUUGAUCGCCUCCAGGAGUUGAGGUUUACCAAGGAUGAAAUGAUGAGAAAGUGUUCUGUGGCUCUGCAAUAUCUAAAUCUACAGAAAAACCGUUACACGGAUGUUUUACCAUUCGAUGGCAACCUGAUCGCUCUCGGUUCUAGGAGGGAAAGCAGCUCGAAGGGGAAUGGUUAUAUCAAUGCAAGCUUUAUUGGGGUUGCUUCUGGUGAAAAUGUUUCACAGUUUAUUGCUACGCAAGGUCCACUUCCUGAAACAUGUGAAGAUUUCUGGGAAAUGAUAUUUCAGUAUCGUUGUCCUGUAAUUGUAAUGCUAACCCUUGCUGAUAAUCACAAGAUGAUGAGAAAAUGUGCCAAUUAUCUUCCAGCAAACAAUGGGUGUGGACAAUUUGGGAGAGUCAGUGUUGAGAUCAAGUAUACAAGUAAUGUUUCUUCAUUAGUUCUUCGUUGCUUGGAGGUGAAACACAGAGAGUUGGUGAUGCCAUCCCUUUCUGUUCUCCACAUCCAAUAUCCUGAAUGGCCUGAUCAUGGAGUGCCUAGUGAUACUUCAGCAGUUCGAGAAAUUUUAAAAAGGACAUAUCAUGUCCCACCCAAAGAUGGCCCUAUUGUUGUGCAUUGCAGUGCAGGUAUUGGAAGAACUGGUACAUAUUGUGCCAUACACAACACAAUCCAAAGGCUUCUCAUUGGUGAUAUGUCCUCCUUAGACCUCAUGAAAACUGUUGCUGAGUUCAGAUCUCAACGGAUUGGGAUGGUCCAGACAUUGGUAUCCUAUUUUAGAUUCUCAAUCAUGUUUUCUACCUAGUAGCAUACGAGUUCACCAGAGCAAUACUUAUUUUGUCACGAUGCAAUUGUGGAUGAAAUAGAGGAUCUUAUCCAAAAGUCCAAAUCCGAAGCUCAUGAAGAUUUCCAUGAAGGAAGAAGGGAUAUGAAGCCUUGAAGUACUUCAGUUUCCUGCACAUCUCCCAGAUGUUGCAGCAAGAGCUUAAAAUCAGGAUAUUUGCAUGCCUUCUUUAUGGCUUUCAGGAGGCUACUCAUUGCCAUGUUUCCAUAGAUUCUUACAACAAUGACAAAAGAGUCGAUCGGAUCCGAUCCAAGAUCUAUUCCCUUUAGAUUGGACAUUAUUGAUUUUCCAAAUCCAGAGGAUUCUUUGUAGGUGGUAUCUGUGGGUGGUUAGUUAAGCAACCAGGCUAAUUGAUUCGUUGUGAGAUAGUAUUGUCCAUUGCUUUGACUUGUAUGACAUGCCAUAAUAUUAAAUCAGCUUCUUGUUAA